CCACGGGUUAGGCAAACCUGGUGAAAGCCAGGGACGCUAAAGCUAUGGGUCUAAUGGUUUGAAAAACCUAUGAUUGCCAGGCUAUAACG
RNAcentral lists this non-coding RNA (89 nucleotides) under Desulfoscipio gibsoniae. RNAcentral's name for it is "Desulfotomaculum gibsoniae c-di-GMP sequence". It matches the Rfam family "c-di-GMP-I riboswitch aptamer". From Rfam's summary of the family: GEMM was predicted in a large-scale screen for bacterial structured RNA regulatory elements. Lineage: Bacteria; Bacillati; Bacillota; Clostridia; Eubacteriales; Desulfallaceae. The record is from RNAcentral. RNAcentral also lists the same sequence under 1 other name.